CGGUGGAGCAUGUGGUUUAAUUCGAAGCAACGCGCAGAACCUACCAGCCCUUGACAUACCGGUCGCGGACACAGAGAUGUGUCUUUCAGUUCGGCUGGACCGGAUACAGGUGCUGCAUGGCUGUCGUCAGCUCGUGUCGUGAGAUGUUGGGUUAAGUCCCGCAACGAGCGCAACCCUCGCCCUUAGUUGCCAGCAUUUAGUUGGGCACUCUAAGGGGACUGCCGGUGAUAAGCCGAGAGGAAGGUGGGGAUGACGUCAAGUCCUCAUGGCCCUUACGGGCUGGGCUACACACGUGCUACAAUGGUGGUGACGGUGGGCAGCGAGCACGCGAGUGUGAGCUAAUCUCCAAAAGCCAUCUCAGUUCGGAUUGCACUCUGCAACUCGAGUGCAUGAAGUUGGAAUCGCUAGUAAUCGCGGAUCAGCAUGCCGCGGUGAAUACGUCCCCGGGCCUU
This 452-nucleotide ribosomal RNA is filed under the name uncultured Ochrobactrum sp. RNAcentral's name for it is "bacterial SSU rRNA". It matches the Rfam family "Bacterial small subunit ribosomal RNA", at positions 930 to 1382 of the family's 1533-position model. The record is from RNAcentral. Lineage: Bacteria; Pseudomonadati; Pseudomonadota; Alphaproteobacteria; Hyphomicrobiales; Brucellaceae.